UCCCUGGUGGCUCAGAUGGUAAAGUGUCUGUCUGCAAUGCAGGAGACCCAGGUUCGAUCCCUGGGUUGGGAA
Ovis aries (sheep) is the source of this 72-nucleotide transfer RNA. It matches the Rfam family "tRNA". From Rfam's summary of the family: Transfer RNA (tRNA) molecules are approximately 80 nucleotides in length. Their secondary structure includes four short double-helical elements and three loops (D, anti-codon, and T loops). Lineage: Eukaryota; Metazoa; Chordata; Mammalia; Artiodactyla; Bovidae. The record is from Rfam.